This 3323-nucleotide long non-coding RNA is filed under the name Homo sapiens (human). Its description in RNAcentral is "non-protein coding lnc-PGRMC2-3:5". The record is from RNAcentral. Lineage: Eukaryota; Metazoa; Chordata; Mammalia; Primates; Hominidae.
CCCCCGUAGGCGCAGGCGCCGUUGGGGUGCGCAUCCGGGGACCUGCAGGUUACAAGCAGCAGAUCCCACCUUCAGUCCUGGCUCUGACAAGCCCUCCAGGAACCGAAAUGCUAGAUACAGCGGAAGGAGAAACGGAGGGAGGAAGACAAACCCGGAGCAGGGCGGCGCGGCAGUUUGGACACGCCCCGAGCUCUCCUGGGCUCUCAGUCCCCGUCAGGAUGGGAGGCGCGUGCCGAGGGAGGAGGCUGAGGACACAGCCUCCUUUCGCCCUGCGCUGCCCGGCCUUCCGCGUGACCCCGCCUAUGACCUCGGGGCGUUCCGCCUACGUCUGACCGUCAGGUGCGCACGCGCACUUACAGGCUUGUUUUGCCAGCUUCACGCCACCCGGGAUGGGAGAAAGCAGGUGUCGCGAGAGUUGGGCGCAAGACGCCUUGUAGGGAGUGUAACUAUGGCCGGCCUGCGGAACGAAAGUGAACAGGAGCCGCUCUUAGGCGACACACCUGGAAGCAGAAUGGGACAUUUUAGAGACUGAAGAGCAUUAUAAGAGCCGAUGGAGAUCUAUUAGGAUUUUAUAUCUUACUAUGUUUCUCAGCAGUGUAGGGUUUUCUGUAGUGAUGAUGUCCAUAUGGCCAUAUCUCCAAAAGAUUGAUCCGACAGCUGAUACAAGUUUUUUGGGCUGGGUUAUUGCUUCAUAUAGUCUUGGCCAAAUGGUAGCUUCACCUAUAUUUGGUUUAUGGUCUAAUUAUAGACCAAGAAAAGAGCCUCUUAUUGUCUCCAUCUUGAUUUCCGUGGCAGCCAACUGCCUCUAUGCAUAUCUCCACAUCCCAGCUUCUCAUAAUAAAUACUACAUGCUGGUUGCUCGUGGAUUGUUGGGAAUUGGAGCAGGAAAUGUAGCAGUUGUUAGAUCAUAUACUGCUGGUGCUACUUCCCUUCAGGAAAGAACAAGUUCCAUGGCAAACAUAAGCAUGUGUCAAGCAUUAGGUUUUAUUCUAGGUCCAGUUUUUCAGACUUGUUUUACAUUCCUUGGAGAAAAAGGUGUGACAUGGGAUGUGAUUAAACUGCAGAUAAACAUGUAUACAACACCAGUUUUACUUAGCGCCUUCCUGGGAAUUUUAAAUAUUAUUCUGAUCCUUGCCAUACUAAGAGAACAUCGUGUGGAUGACUCAGGAAGACAGUGUAAAAGUAUUAAUUUUGAAGAAGCAAGUACAGAUGAAGCUCAGGUUCCCCAAGGAAAUAUUGACCAGGUUGCUGUUGUGGCCAUCAAUGUUCUGUUUUUUGUGACUCUAUUUAUCUUUGCCCUUUUUGAAACCAUCAUUACUCCAUUAACAAUGGAUAUGUAUGCCUGGACUCAAGAACAAGCUGUGUUAUAUAAUGGCAUAAUACUUGCUGCUCUUGGGGUUGAAGCCGUUGUUAUUUUCUUAGGAGUUAAGUUGCUUUCCAAAAAAUUUGCACAAUAAUUCAAUCCCUAAUACCACAUUUGGGGAAAUUAUUAUUGGUCUUUGGAAGUCUCCAAUGGAAGAUGACAAUGAAAGACCAACUGGUUGCUCGAUUGAACAAGCCUGGUGCCUCUACACCCCGGUGAUUCAUCUGGCCCAGUUCCUUACAUCAGCUGUGCUAAUAGGAUUAGGCUAUCCAGUCUGCAAUCUUAUGUCCUAUACUCUAUAUUCAAAAAUUCUAGGACCAAAACCUCAGGGUGUAUACAUGGGCUGGUUAACAGCAUCUGGAAGUGGAGCCCGGAUUCUUGGGCCUAUGUUCAUCAGCCAAGUGUAUGCUCACUGGGGACCACGAUGGGCAUUCAGCCUGGUGUGUGGAAUAAUAGUGCUCACCAUCACCCUCCUGGGAGUGGUUUACAAAAGACUCAUUGCUCUUUCUGUAAGAUAUGGGAGGAUUCAGGAAUAAACUAGCUAAGACUGUGAUGGAAACUACUUGCUGUGUGGCACUUCCUGGUCUAAAGCUCUGCUAGACAAUUGCGGUGAGCCAGUCUCCAAGAAUCAGACUACAGAUAUUGCAGAUUUUGAAGAACAAGAACAUAUGUUGAAUAACAGAGAGAAUUCUACAUGUCAUUGUGAAUAGUAGGUUAUAUAAAAACAUACUAGAUGAUAAUUUCCUUACCUCAGAAAUGAAAUAUUAUUCUUAUAAUACCUUUUUGUGGUUGCAUGAACUAAUGAGUGAAUGGACAAUGAUGAAUAAAUGUGAAGCUGUAUUCUUAAUACCCACUGCAGAAGUGUCAUUAAAAUAAUAUACAGUGGAACCAGAAAGAGGGUUCUGUAAGAAUUAGCCAUAGCAGAACAAAAUUAUAGAAUUUUAAAUACCUCUACCCAAGUAGAGGUAUUUUUAUUCAGACACCUACUUUUUAUUUAUAAAAAAAUGCAUUUUCUAUUAUCAAGUUCACUUAUGAAAUAAAAAUUAUAACACAUAUUUUCCAUUUAGCGUGCCUAACAUCCUACCUUGCCUUCUAUGAGUCUUUCUUCUAAUACUACACCUCUGCCUUAUUUUAGUUCAGGGUUUCACUAAGUAACCCCUACAUUAAUAAAUGAGUAUGGAUAAUGCUAAUAUUUGAGCAAUACAGAGGAUUAAGAGAUCAAGAUACUUCACUGCCUAUUAGCCUAAUAGGGAUACCUACUUUCUUUCAAAUGCCAAAAAUUCACAUUAGAAACAUAAUCCAGAUAUGUGUUAUUUUAUAUAUAUAUAUACAAAACAGUAAAUGGUUUCUUAAAAUUAUUGCUAUUUUUCAACCCCCUUAAACUGGAGAAAAACAUUUAAUUAGUAAAACAUUAAUUAAUUUACUUUAAUUUUUCCCAUCUCUCAGUAGUGGCGGGGAGGAACACAACAGUUUUCAAUCUAUGUCUGCAUAGUUGUGUAGAGCUGCAGAAUUUUAGUUGGAUUUUUAAUUUGGAUGAUCCCUGACAGCCCCAAACUAGUCAGGCUAAUAAGUAUUUGAGGCAAAAUGGCUUUAAUCUAACAAUUUACUGAGUUUACCUGAAGUUGGCUAAAUAACACUGUAUGUUUAACUUCUACCUCUACAUAAGUUGAAUGCUGAUAAAAGGAACUAGUAGAUAACUAUGUAUAUUGAUAAGCACUGUUAAGAAAAUGCAAAAAUAUUUCUAAACACUUUUCCAAAUGUUUUCUACUUUAAGUUAGAAAUAGUUUCAAAUCUGAGAAUAAACACUAUAUAAUCUGCACUUUAUAGGUUGGGUGCAGUGUCUCAUGCCUGUAAUCCCAGCACUUUGGAAGGCCAAGGCAGGAGGAUUGCUUGAGGCCAGGAAUUCAAGACCAGCCUGGGAAACAAAGUGAGACCCUGUCUUUACAAAAAAUAAAAACAA